GACGAACGCUGGCGGCGCGCCUAACACAUGCAAGUCGAACGAGCGAGAGAGAGCUUGCUUUCUCGAGCGAGUGGCGAACGGGUGAGUAACGCGUGAGGAACCUGCCUCAAAGAGGGGGACAACAGUUGGAAACGACUGCUAAUACCGCAUAAGCCCACAGCUCGGCAUCGAGCAGAGGGAAAAGGAGCAAUUCGCUUCAGGAUGGCCUCGCGUCCAAUUAGGUAGAUGGUGAGGUAACGGCCCACCAUGCCGACGAUUGGUAGCCGGACUGAGAGGUUGAACGGCCACAUUGGGACUGAGACACGGCCCAG
RNAcentral lists this ribosomal RNA (311 nucleotides) under uncultured bacterium. RNAcentral describes it as "bacterial SSU rRNA". It matches the Rfam family "Bacterial small subunit ribosomal RNA", at positions 28 to 334 of the family's 1533-position model. The record is from RNAcentral.